RNAcentral lists this small nuclear RNA (62 nucleotides) under Microcebus murinus (gray mouse lemur). RNAcentral describes it as "U7 small nuclear RNA (ENSMICG00000045338.1)". It matches the Rfam family "U7 small nuclear RNA". Rfam says of the family: Animal histone pre-mRNAs are spliced by a different mechanism than nuclear pre-mRNAs and self-splicing introns. This processing involves the U7 snRNP, which contains only one RNA species: U7. Lineage: Eukaryota; Metazoa; Chordata; Mammalia; Primates; Cheirogaleidae. The record is from Rfam by way of RNAcentral.
GAAUGUUACAGCUCUUGUAGAAUUUGUCUAGCAGGUUUUCUGGUCCCCACCAGAAGACCCCU